This 45-nucleotide non-coding RNA is filed under the name Trichobilharzia regenti. Lineage: Eukaryota; Metazoa; Platyhelminthes; Trematoda; Strigeidida; Schistosomatidae. The record is from RNAcentral.
CCUCAGCUGACGAGUCCCAAAUAGGACGAAGUACGCAUCCUGGGC